AGUUUUCUUGGAGACUGCUGAUUACAGACUUGAUUAAGUUGUCACACUGGUUGGCAGUUAUCUACCAGAGAUUAACCUUACUCCCUUUAUGUGGAAGAAGUUACGUUUUGAGAGCUGAAUAGGAACCACAUGAAGAAGGCAGAUAUAAAUGUUCGUAAUACAAAUCUGCAAUGCUGUUUUUGCUGACCUUUCCUCCCCCUUCCCCAGUCAGGCCAGCCCUCAAGAGUCCCUGACCAAGGAGACCAGGAAGAAAGUCUGGAGUAAGGAAGAGUUUCCCUUGGUUAAGAAGGAUCAGAUUAGUGAUGAUUCAGGUAAACUUGACAUCCACAAGUCCAUGGGCCCUGAUAGAAUGCAUCCAUGAGUGCUGAGAUAGCUGGUGGACUACAUUACCAGGCCACUCUUGAUCAUCUUUAGAAGGUAAUGGCCAUCAGAAGAGAUGCAUGAAGUCUGGAAGAAAGCAAAUGUGACCCUCGUCAUCAAAGGGCAAGAAGGAAGACUCACAAAACUACAGGCCAGUCAGCCUCAUCUCAGUCCCUGGAAAGGGGGGUGGAACAGUCAUCCUGGAGGCCAUCUCUGAGCGUGUAGAAGACAAGAAGGUGAUCAGGAGUAGUCAGCACAGAUUUAUCAAAGGGAAAUCAUGCUUAACCAAACUGAUUCCGCUUCUAUGAUAGGAUAACUGGUUGCAUAGAUAAGGGGAGAGCAGUGGAUGUUGUCUACCUUGACUUCAGCAAGGUUUUUGAUACUGCCUCCUAUACUAUCCUCAUAUUGUGAUGGACAGUGUGUUGACCAUGAGUCAGCCACGUGCCUUUGUGGCCAAGAAGGCCAUUGGUAUCUGAGUUGCAUUAGAGCAUUGCCCUCAGGUUGAGGGAGGUGAUCCUCCCACUCUACUCAGUCCUGGUGAGGCCUCGCCUAGAGUACUGUGUACAGUUCUGGGCUUCCCAGUGCAAGAUAUGGACAUACUGGAGAGAGUCCUGUUGAGGGCAACUAAAACAAUUAAAGGACUGUAGCACUUCUGCUAGGAGGAAAUACUGAGGGACCUGGACCUGUACAGCUUAGAGAAGGCUCUGGGGGAGUAUCAUCAAUGUGUAUCUGAAGGGAGGUAGUCAAGAGGAUGGUCUCCCACUGACUCUUCUCAGUGUGGUGCACAGUGAUAAGGCAAGAAGAAACAGGCACGGACUGAAACACAGAGAAGUUCUGGCUGGAGAAGUAAAAGCUUCUUUACUGUAAUGGUAACUGAGCACUGGAAGAGACUGCCCAGAGAAGCUGUGGAAGCUCCUUCCCUGGGAUCUUCAAAAGCAGCCUUUACACAAUCCUAGGUGAUGUGCUCCAGGGAACCAAGCUUGAGCAGAGAGGUUGGACUAGUUUAUCUCCAGAGGUUCUUUCCAGCCUCAGAAGUAAAGAAAAAAAUAUGAUAGAAAUAUCUCAGUUACAAUAUCAAUAAUGUCCAUGAAGUAUUGUAUUCUUGCAUUUAUCUUUGCAAAAGCGAUGCUCAGGUAGAGCUUUGCAUUCACACUUCAUGAAAAUGUUUGUUAACAGCUCUUGAAUUCAAGCAUCUGGGUGCAGAUAAUUGCCUCUAGGCCAGUACUACCCUUUGGAUUUGGAGAUAUUUCGAAGUAUUGAAUGCUAAAUCGUUGACUCAGAUGACUAUAAGUUUUCUCAGUCAGUUUUUAUGGAUAAGAGAGCUCUGGAGAAGAAGUAGAACAUGCUGAACAGGUAAGUAAAGCUGUAUUGUUAUUAUGUAAAAUCUGUAGGAAAGUUGUGUUGAUAUGAGGUGCUCAUUUUGAGACUAUGUGAACAGGUAAACAUUUGCUAAAAGCAGGAAAUAAAAUUUCAGAGCAUACAGUUACACACUAUUUCCUAUGUUAUUUUUAGAAGAAUAUUUUUGGUCAUAGGUAAAACAAAAUGACAUUACUAUAGACAAUGUUUGUUCAAACUACAGUUGUGACAAGAAUGGAAAGGUAAGACUACCACAAGCAGUAGCCUUCAGUUGUAACACGCUUUUGCAUAAAAUCCUAUAAAUCUCCAUUGUUUUCAUAGGUAGUUGAAUUUUGGCUUGAAUGAACCUAAAUCCUUCAUGUACCUGGGAGUAGGGAAAUGGGAUUUUCAUCCCACGUUAUUCUCCUGUGUGGCACUGGCUUGGCCAUUGCCACCCACAGAGAACUUCAGUGCACUGAUGAUGAAGUUUGAAGAGGAAUCCCCUGAAGUUUUGGUUAGUCCAUUUAAUAAAUCACAUACAACAAAAAAGAAUAUUCCCUUAUGCCAAAGGGAAGUGAUAAAAAGUGAAGUAUGUGGGUCCGUCUGGUCAGAGUCUCAUAAAAAUGUGUUUACUCUUUGUUUUACGUACCCUCUCUGUGUUGAUAUGACAUAAUUCUCUAUAAAGGUAGGAAUACUGUGCAUACACAACUAUAAGUUUGUAUGAGAUACAGUGAAUAUCCCAUGAGAGAGAACAAGACAUAAUUUAAAGUUGAAACAAGGAGUGAUUUAUGAAGGUCAUUGUCUUAGUGAUUCAGAUACUUUCCAUAUGUUGUAGAAACCCAUUUUUGUAUGGUAUGCAUAUAAUGUGUAGCAAAUUCGUUUCUACAUAAGUUUCCUCUAAAAUGCUUUGAUUUAAAAAUCGUGGUGUAUUUUUAUCUCAUCUGUGAUAUCUCAGUUUACUUUUAUUGAAAGUAUACUUUAACAUGGCAGAUUUUGAGAUGACUCUACUGAAGUUUGGUUUGGUUGACAAUAAACCUGGAGGUACUUCUGAUGCUAAAACAUCCUAUUGCACCAGAUUUAUAGCUUUACUUCUGUAUCAUGCUUAGGUGAUACAUAGUAUGCUCUGAAUCAUGCUUGAAGCCCUGAAGGAACUGACCAAGUAUGAAAGGAACAGAUUUUUUUUUCUUACCAGCUGCAGCAACUUAUAAUUCUGUAUCUCAUUUUAUUUUAGAAAUCGCUUGAAGAUGGAACUACUUAUAUUAAAGCUAUGUGAUGGGAACAUGAUCAUUAAGAAUACAUUACUGUUUGAGGCAUUAAAAUAUUCAAUUUAAUUUACUAUAAUGUAUAAAAUACUUUUAUUGCAGGAAACUUUAUUUUACUGAUUGCUUAGUAAGUGAAGGGACAUUUAUUAACCAAAUAAAUCAACACCACCCAUGGCAGCUUGCCCCUGAAGUAUCUACUAAGGAGAGAGAGAUGAAAAAACCAUGAGGAAAAAAUUAUCUGAGAAUGAAGCUUAUUCAUGAGCAGGAGACUGAAGAAAUGUGUAUGGUUAUUCUACUCUCAGAAAAGGAUCCGAAGUGGAAAUGAGAGGAAAAGAGAACAACACCCAGAAACCAAGUGGCUAAUGGUGGUGAGUUUUCAUUUUUAUCUUUUUUUCUGCAAUUAUUUUCUGUCUUUUUUCUUCUUUGAUGUGAGCUUUGCUUUGCAAAUGGAUUUUUAAGCUAUUUCGUCUAGGUCUUCAGUAUGGAUGGGAGUCUUUUCCAUCUGAUCACGUCCAUCAUGUUUAAAAAGCACAAGCAGGUUGUAUGACCUCUGGUAUUUUCUAGUAAGGUAUUGUGCUCUAUUUUAUUAAAUUACACAAGUGAGCAGUCCAGGCUGUGUUAAGUAAACAAUAUGUGACCAGCUGAAAGGUUCAUAACUCAGUGGAGCAGUAAGGUUAAAAUGGAAGAGAUAAGAAUGUGACUUGGAUGUACGGAGCAUCAAGGCCUACUUUCCAAGUUAUCUGCAAUUCACCGCAAAUAUUCCAAAGCAGCAAUAGAUGUUGUUCCACAUGUCAUUUGUUAUCACCUCUUUUCCCACUAAAAUGCUUGAGUGUUGCUGCUCAGCAGUGUUUGGCAAAGAUUCUGACGUUUGGGGUGUUACUCCACUUUUAGAGAUCCUUGCUUGCUGAGCCUGGUUUGAGGGAAGGGUGUGGAUGCUUGAUUUUUUUCUUACUUAUUUCCUGCACGCACAUGAAGUACAUUAGAGUAAAAACUUUCAAUAAUUUGUCAUCCUUGAAAGUUAUGACUUUUAAUUCACUAGAAAAUAUGAUCUUUUCUAUUGUCACUCGAAUGUGCAUAGGGUUAGUUGUGCAGCAUAAGUAGCUAUAAUUAUGAAUUCUUAAAAACAUUUGUACAUAAAGUAAAAAAAAAAAGUAUGUGUGUAUAUAUAAAUAAAGAACAAAUGAAUUGUAACUUGAUAAUAUCACAGGGCUCCUAUAUAUCAAAUUUUAAAAAAACCCAACAGUAUAAUAUCUACAUAGAGCUAAACCUUCCAAGAUGGAUUACUUUGGUGAACAAUCUAGGGUCACCUCUAUUAGCAUAUGCUAGAUACCAGAGAAAUUGUUCAAAAAGCCUUGUAUUGUAGUGUCUGUCUUAGGGAGGGUUCUCCUCCUUAUUCGGGGGUAAAAGAAUCGUGCCCUGAAGUCAGUGGGAAAUUUGUCACAGGGAGAAAAUACAGGGUUACAAGCUUAUUUGCCUAGCACUUGAACAAUUUUCAAGCCUGAGCUUCUCCCUAAUAGUUAAUGUUGUCACAGUCUUUGUAUUACAUUAAUAAAUGCAUCUGUCAGGGAGGCAUUUCUCUACUCUGAUAAAGCAAUGUGACUUUUGUUACUUUUAGUCUGUGAAAUUACUUUUCGUAUGUUUCAUAACAUGUAAAGUAGUGACAGUACAGUGCACUUUACCAGAGGGAUUCCUAAUAUUCAUUGAAAUAUCAUAUUUCUGGUAAAUUGCUAAAAGAUACCAAAACCUGAGAUUACUUACAAAAGAAACCCUAAUAAAUGUUUAAUUUCAAUAUAUGUCUGAAUGCUCUGUGACAAAUAAUUGUGUAGAAAUCAAUCUAGAAAUCAAGGUCUUGUUGCUACCUAGGCCCACCUCUCAUUAAAUAUGCUGAAAAAGUUAUGGUCUCAAGAUAGACUUUAUGGUUUAUUCAUACUUAAUUUCUGAAACAAAUGGCCUGAUUUUGGACAGCUCUAUGCUUGUAGUAGUAACGUUUACUUGAAAUUGAGCUGAAUAGUUAAUGACUGUUAGCGUGAAGGAACAGUUAUGGAAGGACAGGAACAGGACAUAGCUCUAGAAGCAGCAGUUGCAGCACAUCUCAAGCCUAGCUGCAUAUGCUCUUAGGGUAAAGAAAAAAAGUCUAUUAGUAGACUUAUUUUUGCUUUGGUGAGGAUAUAAAAAUAGCAUUUGUGGUUAUAGGAGUGAUCCCUAAAGGUCACUCAAAAAUUCUGGCUCCAUACAGCUGCUCGUUUGUGAGAGCUAGUUUUAGCAGCUGGAGUGAGACUUACAGUGAGACUUGCAGCUCCUUUCUCCCUUUCUUCAUGGCUUUUCCUCAAAUGUUUCUAAGACUCACUGUUGCAAUAAUAUAGAGAUCUCACAGUUAUCAGAUCCAGCCCAGAACUUUCAUUGAUCACUACUUAAGAACACUGCAGGUUGUGCAACAUAUGACUUGUUUUCAUCCUUGUACAAAGCAUUUCUUGCAUGGUGGUCCAUGACUCUGGAGACUAGACUCAGCACUAAUUCCUUUUGUUUCUCUUUUUUGUCCCUCCCUGAACUCUAGAAAGAUGUCUUCAUUUUACACCUCCUUAAUGUCAAGUCAGAACCCCUUUUCCAAGUAGCUUUUCCAGGUUGCAGCAGCUGAGGAACAAGCUGGUCUUCCCUGUUUGUACUGGGUUUUGAUUUGUUCAUCAAUUUCCUUUGCUUUCAUCAAUUUCCGAUGCUUUGUUUAGUUGCCCUGUCACAGAGAAUCUGCAAACACAAUGACAAAGGCUCCUGAGGAAUUUCUUUGACAAAGGAAAAAUUCCUGAGUGGCACAAAUCAUUCUCUUUCAUUCCUCGAGUGCUCCUAGUCUGAAUAUUUCCAGUGCAAAGGGAACACAGUCCUAUUACUUCUUUGAUUCAGCUAUUCUGACUUCUGGAGCAGCUUUAUUUCAUAACACACUUCUACUUUUAUUUAGGAAUUUACAGCCUAGAGAUAGAAUUUAAAUGGCUAUCCUUUCCCUUUCCAAGUACACACCUUUAAUGGAUUUAUAUUCAGUGUAGUAGUUUGACAGCAUGUUUUUUCAGCUGAGGUUCAUGACAGAUCAUCAGGUAGAGAGUAGUGGUACCUUACAUAGUGGUAAAAAGGAGCUUCUGAAGAAAUAAAGAAGGAAAUUUAGACAUAUGUGGAUUCAUCAAUGAAUCUGCUAGGAUACUGAGUAUUUUUAUGUUGUCCAAAGAUUUAGGGUAAAAUGUAGUUGCAUUCAUUAUGUACACUAAUAACUUGUGUUGACUGACCUAGAUUGAUAAAUAUGUUACUAUAGACAGCCUAGUAUGUAGCUGUGUUUGCAACUGUACGCUAGAACGUAAAGAGUGAAGGAUCACAUGGAAAACAUUAAAAGUCUGCAUGGGAACCUACUAAGCUGUAUCAUUUAGACUAAUGCCUUGUGCUAGUUACCCUGUAGAAAAUUGCUCGUGCCAGUAUAAAAUCAAAAUGAAAAGGCUAGGAUUGUUUCCUAUAGACAAGAUGCUAAAAAGAACUGCAGCAAUUAAAUUAAAAAAGGUUCAGAGAGUGUAGUGCAGCAUGGAAACAUUCAUGAAAUUUCAAGAAAGCAGAUUCAAAAUUGAUGGAAAGAAUACCAACAUAACAUGUGGUUGGGAACUCCACCAUUUAAUAAGUCAUGGAAGACAGAAAUUUAGUGAGUGGAAAACAAAUUGGAUGUUUUAGAUAACAACACCAACAAAAAAAAGCAGAAUUAUCUGAACUGAUUUUAGUAACCGUAGAAGUUUUGUUCCCUGUCUCAGAGAUUCUAAGAGUUUUCUGGUUGGAAAGUUUAUCUGAGUACAAGAGAGGAAAAAAAUAAAUUUAGCAUGUAAAAAAUCUGUCCAGCAUAGCUCCUAAUCUUGGAUUCUGUCUUUAGGGAUGAGACAGAAAGGAGCAGAUGCAGAGAUCUGGCCCUUCUCACAGGCAGCUGAUUAUUCUACAUGUACUUUUCUCAGGACUUCUGAUUGCUUAUUGCUUUAUCAGGUGUUGGUGACUGUAAAUGCUAGGACACUCGUGCUUAAUUUGGGGACUGAUACUACAAUCCAAUAUUUUUAAACUGCAAAUAACCUGCUACAGUGUAAUAUGGAUGAGUUUAGUGUUUUGAUGUACGUAAGCCAUGACAUUAAAAUGUGAUAUGAAACUAAAUUCUAAGGCAACGAUUUUCUCUUAAUCUAUCUAAAAAUGAGUUGAAGUCGUUGAUCUGGGAUCUGAUACAACCUUCAACUUUCACAGUUGGAUUAGAUGAUCUUAGAGUCAUUAAGGUUAGAAAAAACCUCCACAGUUCUGUAAUUUCAGUUUACUUACUGUCAGUCUUCCAUUGAUUUCUCAGGUAGUUGUGGGAUCUAAGCCUACAGGAAUAAGAAAAAAAUGCAUUAACGUUUUCGUAAGUAAAACAAAAAAAAAAUCUGUCUUAACAGUUUUCAAUCCUAUUGCAACACAAGAUUAAAGAGCUGAAUGGGCUCAAAUAGACACUUUCUUGUUAAGCUUCCUGCCUCACAGACAAAGCACCAAUGAAAAGAAAAUGAAAUGAGCUUUUGUUAUCUUAUCACAUUUUCCUAACAGAUCUAUUUAUUUAUAAAGUUAGCUUUAAGCUAUUAAUAAUUGUAACUCCUAGCUAUAAAGCACCUCCAAUCAAACAAUUUAGUUUGCAAUCAUAAUAUCUUUAUAUAAAUGCUUUACUCCCUUGGUUGAUAACUUUCUUCUGUUAUGUUAUUUCUUAAUGGCCAAGGUUGUACUUUAAGUACCAAUACAGACUAGAGGCAGACAAUGAAAAUUACCUAAUAGCAGGUUUAUUAAAUAGCAUUGUGGAUAAAAUAAAAGCAUCAUUUGGGAUUUUGUACAUUUCUACAGUCUUUGGGCUGCAAUAUACCUUUCUGUUGAUGCUGUUAAUGUGAAAAAUAGCAUUUACGUAGUGUCAUUGGUAUAAUAACGUAGCAGUUAUAUAGUUAUGUUUAGUAACGUGAUCUUACAGCCAUAUUCCUGCGAAGAAAGGAAAUAUAAAACAUAUUUCAUCAUACCACGUUGUGAAUACUAGGUCAAAUGUUUUCAUGUAGACUUGUGUAUCUAUUUGUGUUCACCCAAGACCAUCCGUGCAUUGUCAGCCUCUGCACUUUGUUCACUAAAGAAUACACAGUAGCAUUAUCAAGACCAAUGUGGGUCAGCCCGUGCCACUUGCAUUCAAAAUUGGUGGUCAAACUUCAGAAUUUGUUCUCCAAACCAGCAGGAAGUCAAGAGGAGAGAGAAAGCUCACAUCAGAACUUUACUCUUUUACUUCUCUUCAGAGUAUUCUGAAAGUAAUACUUUAUUUUGGAUGAGUUUAAUAUCUAGUUCUUUUGUUUUAAUUUAAAAAUGUUAAUGAAGAAGGAAGCCUCUUCCAAGAUGGAAGGAGUGGGGCAGGUGUUGUUUUAUUUUUUUUUAAGUUUAAUCAUGUCUGAUCAAAAUUCUUCAUUCCUUCUGUUCUCCUAUUAAAAAAAGUCAUCUGUUUGCCACUAUUUAGCACUAUUCUAGUUUUCAUCCAUUACUAUUCUUUGUUUCCUCUUCCCCAGCCCCCAGAUGGGUAGGUAGCAAGGCAAAAAACAGCAGAAAUCUCAGUGAUUAAAAAUUAUAUUAAACUUGGCAUAUAAGAAAAUGCUACUGAUAGUCAGGAAGUGUUCUCUUUUCAGAGGGAGAAAGAACACGAGUUCUUCAUAAUUUAGCAAUUUAUAUUUUUAUAAUCUUUUUAAUUAACUAAUUGUAGCUAGUUCCUAAAAAGAACGAGUUUUGUUACAAAGAAGGGAGCAGGGAACUUACAGAAACAGAGGUAUAAAUAGUUGUUACAGUCAGAAAGAUUAGUGCAGUGGAAAGGCAGUACAGGAGUGGAACGGCAAAAGGACAAACAGGAGUCCUCUAAACCCAUCUCUGAGUAUCGAGGCUCGCGGAGGAAAAACUCCACAAGUGAGAGAUCUCCAACUGAAGACAAUUCCCCGGUGGCAGUCUGCCCUUAAAUGGGGUCUAGAAGAGGUGGGGCCUGGCUCCAUCCCUUCCGGUCACACAGGUGAAUUGCCUUCACCUGAGCUCCCAGGGCUGACCCAGUGCUUGCCUCAGGUGAUCAAUCAGUGGUUCAGGCCAUGACUCAACUGUUCCCAUACAGUAGUGCACCAUAACUGCUUGUGCCCAGCUCUAGCAAUCCUUAUUAAUUUUCAGUCAUCACUUCAGAAAUGUAGAUUUUGAAGUGUAGUUUAUCAGUCCAGUCACAUGAUUUCCAGUCUUUUAUUCUUCAGAUAUUGUCUGAACACUGAAAUGGUAGUGAACCGGUUGUGGUCUAUACAAUUCAGAAUAUAUUCAUUUGUCUACCUUAUGUUGCUCUGUAAAACCUAUAAUCUGUUUGACACUUCAUUCUCUGCUCUUUCAUUAACAAUAAGUGUAUUUGGCCCCAAACAGUUUUCUUAUUGUUAAAAAAGAAAAAGCUUAUUUUUUUUUCCUGAAGUUAUGUUUUUCUCCUCUUAGAGAGGAGGAAAAAAAAAAAAAAACCAACCCACAACCAUUUCUACAGAUUUGUGGGUUUUAGGACAUAUUUUGCAAAAUGCACAGAAAUUUUUGUUUCAGAGGUUACUCUUCUUUAUGUGCUGUAAAUACUGAAGCUGUCUAAUGAUGAUGAGAAUAUAUACAUGUAGUCAUGCAUUUUGAGAAGUAUGUCAAUAUUAUUGAGUACCCAUGUAAUUCUUAACUGACAAUAAGGGGUGUAUGUGCUUUUCCAGUUUUUAAUGAUGUUACCUACAUAUACCUACGUACCGUUACCUGUGUGUUGCUGGUUUUGGCCCCAAACUUUUAUACUGAUGUCAGUUAUUACUAGUCAACCAACUACUACAACUAGAACAAAUACUGUGACACCUGAACAUGUUUUGGCACUGUUAUAACUAUGCCUGAAUCUUUGGAAGUAUUUUGGAGGGAAUCAAGAAGCUAUUUCCCACUGAAUUUCUAUGGAAUUUUACUGCCUAAUGCCCUGUGAGUUUUGCUGAACACCUCUAGCUCUUUCACAAUCAUGUUUCCCCAGGUACUGAGAGAAUAGGAAGAGAGCUAAGACCAUUUGGCAGAUGUAUUUUAUUCUACAGGGAACUUAGGUUCCAUACAGCAUUGCCCAUAUAUUCAGAUUGUUUAAAGGUGAUGGGUUCAUUAUAAUUGCAUUAUAUUGUAAAUGCUGGAAAUGUUUUUAAUAUGCAGCAAUAAUAUAUUGCAUUAAAAGAUAUUUCUUCCACGUGCAUUUUAGGGAAGCAAAUUGGAUACUCUGUAUGUAAGAGUUCAUCUCUGUCCACAUUCCGGCAUCACAGCCAGUAACUUGUGCUUGAUUUGGUGAUAUUCUAUAGCUGUACUAGUCUGAAACUGAGCUAGGUCCUUUUAUAUCUAGUUUGAUGUCACACUGACAUUAAUAGAGGUGUGUGCCUGCAGAAAUAUAUCUGUUUCUAUGUAGCGGACUGCCUUACAGCUGAUCUGAAAUACAUUCUGCAUGUAUGUGUUUUUCUUGAAUCCACAUGGAUUGAUUUUUCAGCAAUGCUUUUGGAAUUCGGUCUUUAGUAUUUUUUUGCUUGAAGCAUAUGCAGAUGUUUCCAUGUUCUGUAAAAUGGAGGAAGAAGCACAAAAGUUACAAUAAGUCAAUUUCCCCUAAGCUUUACAAGAAUUUCAUCGAGAGGUGAUUGAUCCAUUUGUUGCAAAUAAUAAUAAAUGUUGACAUUUUUCAAUUUUGUGUUCCAUUUAAGUGAAAGUCUUGGGUGUUUAUUUAUGUAUCAUUUUGUUCCUUGUUUUGAAACCGCAGCGAGAGCAUUUCAAGCAAUGCCUCUCACUAUUCAUUAUUUAUGAAUUUGUGUUAAUCCAUACCCUCAUAGAUAAAGCUUCCAUAAACUUGGGGGCGAAGAGCAGUGGCAUUUCUCAAGGGUGCACAAACAUUUUUGGGCUGAAUUUUUCCAAGUAAGAGUACUUAUGAUUCUGAUAACUUUGCAGAAUCUGUGUGUAGCUAAUGUAUUCUAGUUGGCUGAACUGUGUCAUAAGACUUCUUAAUUUUUUAUUUGACUUUUUUUUUUUAAAAAUCUCUUUCAAACUUGUUUCUGCUGCUUAUGACCAGGGUUUCACUACAUUCCUUGCAUGGAUACCUUUUGGAAAUUGAGCUGGAAUUAGUGACAGCAGGCUGAGAGACCCAGGUUUUAUUCUUCCUGUCCUAAGGCAGAAAGUUUGAAGUAGUGGAAAACUAAUAAAAGCAGAACAAAGGAGCCAGAUGUUGUGAGGCAGGGUAGAGGAGAUUCAAAAAUACUUUGAACAGGAGGAGAGAAGAUAGAGGAUUGCAUAUAUGAUGGGAGGUGGUUUUGGUGACAAAGGUCAAAGACAGUGAGUUAAGCUGAGCUGAAACAAUUCUGUCAGUGUACAAAUCCUGGAGCAGUCUAGGUGGUUUCACAUUCUCUGGGGACUUGCUCAAAAAUCCUGUAGUGCAGUAAGUAAUGGUGAAUGGGUUUUGAAUCUUACAUGAAGCUUUAUUUAUAUACCUGGCUGGUUACACAUGCAAGGCCAUCCAAAGGAGAAAAAUGGCCCAGAGGAAAAUAUUCCAGUUUCUUCCACAGGAACAGGCUUCUGGAAGACAGUUAGCUGCAAGUUCAAAGACCUUUGUAGGAUGACAUCUCAGAAAAGAAUCUAUGCCAUGGAAACAAAAAGGUGAAUACCACAGAGUAGCCUACCCUACCCCUGUGGAGUCUUAAAAUAUUUACUACCUCAUAAUCUGACAAAUUCGACCAUGUUACAGAGACAGUCUUUCAGGUUUUCCUGAGUGCCAGUGUAAAUGUUCACUAUACUGGCUUUUUGUUUAGAGAAAUACUAAUAAAAAGCAAUACAAACAGGCACUAUAUACUUGUGCAUAGCUUUUAUUAAACUGCUUGUUAAUAAUCCUUAGGAGGAUUUUGUGCUAGAGUGUCUUAAUGAAUAUCUUUAUUUUAGAGACUUUUGCUUUCCAUUUAAUAUGGACUGGAGCUUUGCCUACAGCUUAGCUUUGCCAUCCUUCUUAAUAUCACUACUGACUCCCUUAUCUUUCCUAAUUUGAAUCACUUACAGUGAAGAGCAGUAUUUUGAAUGUGUACUCUGCCUGUGGGAGUUGUAGGAAGGCUGCAAUACAGGAGCCUGUCAAAGCCUGGGUAGCUUCGCAGACUUCUCUCUUACUAUUUUUAAAGGAAUUAACGUAUCAGCUUUCAUUGUAAUUGUGCAAUGUUCAUGUGUACAGUGUGUUCAUAUUGAGCUACUUAUGUUACAAUUAAGAUGUCAUAAUUCUGUAAGCCUACAAACUCCACAGUCAUUGAGAUAGAGGAGAUUCAGGUUGUGAUUUUCCCAGUGGUGACCUUUCUUAGGGGCUUUCUGUUCUUUUCUUCAGCAGUCAUUAAUACCUAAUCAAAUGAUUUAUUCAGUUGCUUUGCAGGCAACUUCUGGUCAGCUCCCCUUAUUGCAUGUGUCUUUUAUGAGGCAUCUUGUAGGCCAAGAAAGUGUAGUCAUAUGAACUAUUUUUGACCUGUGCUCAUUACUGGGAGCUGUAUGCAUCCUGGAGAUCCAUCCAGCAUCUUAAAGGAUGUGGCAUUGUUAAUUCCAUGUUGCUUUCUAUAGAAAAAUACUUGUAUUCAUGAGACAACAAGAGAUCAGCAUGGCAUGACUAAGAUCUUCUACCUGACAGCAGGACAAAUACCAUAGAAGAGACUGGUUUUCAAGGUACUAUCUGCUUUAGCAAAUUUAAGAUCUUUCAUCACCAAACAAAGUAUUGAUUUUAGGUAAUUCUUCACGGAUGGUACUGCAGUCUUGGAAUUGCAAGCAGGUAACUUCUAUUCUCAGUCCUACAGAUCCUGCAAGACAUUUUGACGUAUUUGACAUAUUAAGCUAAUCCUACCAGAGUAAUCUAUCUUUUUGGUCAAAUAAAUCUUUUUCACAAGGUGGAUAAAAUUUGCUUAUAUAAUUACCUCACAAUUGAGUAAUUUUUCUAGACACUUCCAAAAUAUGGUUUCAAGAUCUUCUGGGGGUAACCCAGUAAAAAUAUUCAAAUGAACAACAUCUGUAAGAAUACUUAAUGAAGACUAGGAGACCAGCAUAAUGGCCUGUCUUAACCAUCUUUCAGAUAUAAUUGUUACUGUAUAUAGCAAGUGAGUGGAUCUGGGCUAGAUUACUCCCUGUUAAAGCUGUAAUUUCAGUGGGAUUUCUGCGGAUUUAUACAGAUUGUGAUGUGAAAACAGUUUUUGCCAGCUGAUACUAAUAGAGAUAUAUUGAACUGUGGGGAUGUUCUACAUUCAUUUACCAGCGAGAGAACGAUUUUUUUUAAUCAGUGUAUUAUUUUCUCAUUCACCUUGCAGAACAUGGGAUUAGUUUUUCAAGCAUGUGUUUGGACUAUAACAUGAAAAAGAAAAGAUGCAUUUACAGACCAUUUGCUACAUUACACUUUUAUUUCUAAUAACCCAUUUUGACACUAAUCCUAUAUGUUGGAUUAUUUUAUGAUGUAAUCACCUUAAAAAGAUUUUCUGUUUCUUAAUAUGAAAACGGGAAAAAGAACUGAAUUUGGCUGUAAUAUUUUAGUAUAUCCUUUCUCUUACAGAGAUUGUAUUUAGAUGUAGAUAAGGAUUUCUAGUUUAACCACCCAUGUCUUAUUAUUUUCUUUAUGUUAACGCUUUUCCAGUUGUGAUGUCCAAACAGUAUUGAAGUAACGCAAGAUACCCUAAGGGUAGUAUAGUUACUUCCAGUGAAGAAUGAGCAGUAGAAACUGACAAUUCAGUUUAAACAGAUGAGAAAGGCAGAUUUCUAGAAGAGGUCUGCUUUCUUCUCUUGCAAGAAAAUGUUGAGGGGCUAGGGUGUUAAGAAAGGAGAGAAAAAAAAAAAAAAAAAGGAACUAUGCUCUUUUGAAAUCAAUAUCAUUUAUGUAAUUGUAUGAUUUCUGAUGGCAUAUUUAUCAGCCUGUGAGUGACCAGCCCCUCUCCUGUUCCUCUUUUUGGUCUCAUGUCCCUGCCAUGCCCCUGGUAACAUACAGCCUGCUGCUGCUGUGGGUUCUGUUAUGGGGCCGGAUGCAGGGUGCUUCUACAGUGUAACAUACAAGUCUGAAUGGUUUAAAACACUAAUUGCUAAUAAACUGUGGGAAAAGGGGUGAGGAGAAAACACGAGGUUUAGUAUUUUUGUACUUUUCCCAAAACGAUUAUGACCAAGAAGGCCAUAGUUCAAAAAGCAUUUAGUAGCCACUGAGCAUCAGCUUGAGAGGUUUCAGCGUAAAAACUGUUGCUUAUUCAUAAAUGCACAAUGAAGGUAUUCAGCAAAAUUAGGUUUUGAAAACAUACAAUUAUCAUCUUGUUUUCUUUCUCUGGUGAGCUAGCAAGAGAAUUAUGAAAAUAUAGAAUUGAGUCUGUGGUGCACAAAGAUUUUCUGUGUUGCCAAUGAGAGUCAUAGAAGCCUUCCCUGUUGUCAUCACCGUAUAACAAGUAGCACUUCUUCCAAGCUGCAUAACCUACAAAACUGUUUCAUUAUUCCAUUUUUUGUUGUUGUUGUUGUUAAAAUUAAUUGUGUGUUGAAUACAGAAAAUCUCUUCUUCUUGUGUCCAAGAAUUAAUAGUAAAAGAAAAUCUGCUGCUUGGGACUUUGAGUAACUACAUUUGUUUUUUUUUAUCUUUCUCGAUAGUUCUUGUAAGAAAAAUCUAUGGGGAAAUCACAUUUUUUCAGUAAUUUCUUAAUAGUGAAGAGGUGAUGAUUUGGGCAAAAGGCUCUCUGAAAUAUGUGCACCUAAUUUUUAAAAUACUUUUGUGUGAAAUAUUGGACUUUUGGAUCUGUGACUGAUAAUUUCUGUAUCAAAUUGGUGGUUUGAACCCAACCUUACCUAGAAAUUUAUAGCUAAAAACUGACUUAAUUUUAGUUAGUGCCCUCAUCUAGCCUCAAGUAUAAUCUUUCUUUUUUUUUUUUUUUUUAAUGCAUACUCGCCUUUAAAUCAUGUUUGAAUGUGGGAAGAGAAAACGGUAAUAAACCACCACUUCUCUAAUUCAGAGGGCACAUGAAUCUUAGGUAAAAGUGCAAGGGAAAAGGAUUCACAAUAGAGAAUCUGAUUAAAAGGUCUGGUUUAGAUUGCUGCUUAAGCAGGAAAUGAUGAAUCUUGGCAGUCUCUCUACUGUGAAACAAAACAGUGAAGAAAGCUGAUGCUUCAGAUAGACACGAGAUAAAAAAGGACCUAGAAAAUACUAUAUUGCAGACAUAUUUCAUUUUGGCAGAGUCUGAGAAAUUGGUUAUCUUUACCACUAUUGUAUGAACAUUUACUUAUUAUCUGUUCUGAAGAAAACGAGGGGGUUAAUUCUCUAACCAAUAGGCUGAAAAUGAAGCCAGUGAUUUGGGAAUUGAGUGUUAGAAUAAAAUAUACCUAGACUGCUCAUCCUGUGCCUGAAGAAACAUAAUUUUAAGGGGAAAAAUUACAUUGUUAUUAGAAGCAAAAAGUUUGGAAAGCCCUCUGGGGUUGCAGUCGUUCAGUUAUGCCUAAUCUGAGUUAGUCAUCAUCCUUACUGUUGAAGGGGCUCUCAGAAUGAAACACAUGCUUAUGAAUUUAUUGAAGAUUAAUUUAUCUUGUUCUCUCUGCUUUUAAGAAAAAAAAGAUGAGGUGGUGUGCAGAUUACUCUUGAUUAUUAUGUAGUGUUUUAUUGCUGUAGAAUAUGGAAACUCAAGGCAUUCUCAAAAUAAGGGAUAGUCAGUGACUCCCCAUCACUCAGCCAACUCUGGUGCUUGCUGGAUCUCUGCAAACAGUGGGAGAUAUCAAAAUUUUGGUACCCUAGGAAUAUACAUUUUUUCUGUUUUCAUCACGUGUGAAGGUUGAAACUGUUUAUAUUCAAAACUAGCUGAUGAGCAAUGUUGUGAAUGUGUUGCUAGAAGGGCAAGCUUCUUAAUGACCUGAUGCCAUGAAAGGCAUAACUGAAGUGUACCUGGAAAUGUAACUGUUAAACAUUUAUUUUUUGUCUUGAUUAUAUUAACUGCUGAUAAGAACCCCACUUUGGUAUGCUGUGCUUAUUUCAUAAUUUGUUUCUGAAUGCAAUCUUGUCAGAAAUGCUUCUUUUUAUCUAUACUGGAUGAAAGCAUCUUGAUUUUUAUUGGUCAUUUUGCAUAGCCUAUGUGAAAAUGUGACAAUUUUAGUGCUUCCUUGACAUUUUUGAUCUAAAAUAUUCUUGUUUCAUGUAAGAGAGUAUUUUCAAUGAAGUAUGUUAUGUCCAGGAGCUAUGAUUGUCAUAGUGUUUUGCAGAGAUGACAUUUGUUGACAUUCACAUUUUUCAAGAACUACCAUUUUUCAUCUUUAUUCGAAACACUAGGAUGAAUGGUUCUAUUGCAUUGUGCAGGAGUGCAGGUCUGAGAUAAAUCUCUGAAAUGUGCACAACCUCCUUUUACAUGUGAACGGAGUGCUGAAUGAACCUUGGGAAAGUCCCACCUUCAUCAGCAGCCUCUCAAACUUUAAGUACUCAUCUCUCUCUUAAGCUAGAUGCAAGUGCUUUGUAGAUCUGCAGAACAGACCUAAACCAUCUUGCAACAGACUUUCUGCUUUCCUGUGAGAUAAUGGGGAAAAAAACACAAAACGUGUGCUGAGGAGAAAGUGAAAGAAAUGCUCUGAAUUUCUGAUGUGAACUGGGACAUCCAAUGAAACUUUCUUGGACUUCGCUAGUGUGAGUGUAAAAUAGGCAUGUGUCUUGUCAGCCAUUCCUAAGGCCAGGCUAACAUCUGUUACUCUACUGCAGCCUUUCUGCCUGGAUUUUGUUCAUAAAAUUAUUUUGGUUAAAUAUUUGUUUUGCUAGAAAACAUUAUCUUUCAAAAAAUUCAAAGGACAAACUUUCCACUUAAAGGUCAGGAGUCCGUGGCUUAUCCACUCAAAACCUGGCUUUGAUAGAAAACUGAUGUAUUUAUUGUACUUCCUGAAAUAGUCUUUGGUUGUGUCAACAUCACAAACAACAGAAUUAUUUUCAGCAAUGAAGAUAUCAGUUUUACAUUCCUCAUUGUUUGUGUUUUCAUGCUGAAAACCUCAAUUUUUGCAGGUGUAGAAGUCUUUCCUCUCAAUCCUGCACUUGUCAGUAUUGCCUCCCUCAUACAGAGUGAAAGCUAUUAAUACUCAUCAAAGUGCCCAUAUAAUGUUACUUCUGCCUAUCCCAGUGUGUGUUUGAAACUAACAAGCACCCUUGGUAUCUCUCUACCUACUCAAAAUUCACACACAACAAGAACAUUACUUUUACUCACAGCAUGAGCCUGACAGGCUUUUAUUAGCAUUUAAUUUUUUGCUUCUGAUUUGUUUCUUCUUGUUUCUUUAAGGUAACUGUGAUUUGCUAAAACUAAGGGAGGCUAUUCUUGGCAAAGGUUACCCUCCUCUUUUUAUUUAAAAACUUUGGAUUGAUGUAAUUUGGUAGGAAUUCCAGAGGGCCUAGGCUUGGAUUUGUCAAUGCUUUGGAGCCAUGGAUCACUGUAUUCCCACUAUUGUCCUAAUGGUGUUGCCUUGAGCUCUGUUACAACAGGAUCCAACUGCCUCUUUAAAUAAAAAAGAAAAGUUCUUAAAUUCAAAUGAAGCCAUGCCAGCUCUUUACAAGCUUCUCAGGGAUUUUAUGGGUUUAUGUAGAACCCUUAAAAAUGUGUCUUUUAGAAGCAGCUGCAUUUGCCACACUUAGAAAUCCUUCCUAUAAUUUCACUACUCAUGCCAAGCUAAAAUAAAACACCUCUGGUGCUUCUUCUGAAACUUUCCACUCCGGAUAAGGCCAGUAAGUAUUUUUGGAAGUGUUUCUUAGAAAGGUUGGUAUAAUUAGGCUUGCUUUCUUUUUUCCCCUCUCUGUUUAUUUGUUUGGCAAAAUAUCUUUUUUCAACAUUGAUCUGAAAGGACAGUAUUCUAUCUGGCCUCGGACUCAGCAUUCACCCCUAUCAUCAAUCUGGUCUUGAAAAACUGUCUUGUAUUGAAAGUGAAAAAUGAGUCUAAUUCAUCUCUAUGUUUACAAAUAGCUACUUUCCAAGCACUGAGUUGCUGUGCAUGUAGAAGUACAACAGAUUCUUGCUUGAGAAACAGAUAUAUUUACCAACUUUUCUUUUUGCAAGCUUUUGUUGCUCUUGCUUGUUUGAUAUUAAGGCAAUUGUGUCCUUGACCUGGUGAUGUGAGCAUGGCAGAUGAUGCAAGUGGAGCUGAUGUGAAAUGAACCCCUUUUCAGUGCUUCUUCUGCUCUGGCUGAAGUAAAAGGGAGCAGUAAGCCUCCUCCAGGCAAUACAUGAAAGUUACAUGAAAGUUUCCUAGCAAGGGUUUCUCAAAGAUAAAGGCUUCUACUAGCACAGGCUUUGGGUAACAGCAACAAAUGCUUGUGCUGCUUGUUAGUAGCAAGAAAACACUGAAUCAAAAACCUCACAUUUGUAUUCUGGAAUGCUCUUGAUCUAUGGUUGCUAUUUGUUGUCCAGGGCUGGCUUUCAUGCAAGCCACACCAUGCCUCACAAGGUGCUGCCUGUUAUGAAUUGGAAAACAUAUCAUGUCAUAGUCCUGGUUGGGUUUCCUUUAAGUGAUGAUGUGGAGCAUAUGUUGUAGUAUAAAUGGAUAAAAGAAGAUCCUUCUUUCACCCACAAAAUGGGUGAAAAUAUGUACAAAUUGAUAACUAUUUUUGCUGCUGAUGACCCAGGUAAUUCACUAGCAUUCUGCCUGCCUAGGCAUUUGUACUUUGCUCUGCAUAGCUUUCUUCCAUGGCCAUCUUAAAAUAUCUCUUUUGGGAAAAAAAAAAAAAGAGUAAAUUAUUGGGAUAGAAGGGAAGGGAGGUAGCACUACAGGAAUAUGGCUUUGAUUUCUCUACUCUGAAGUGGAAAUGUGAUUGGCUAGCUAUUUCUUUCUUCCCCAGCUAGACAAAGAGAGAAAAAUAAAACAGGAAAAUCUAAUGAAAAAAGAGUCUAGGUAAUAGAGAAAAUACUACUGAAAUAGUAAUGGACUUUGUGCUGAACUUGAAAGCUGCCUGAACACAAGUUUCCCAGCAAAAAGUUUAUCUGAAAUGGUGUUUUGGAUAGUAAGAGAGAAUUACUUGCCUUAUAUCAGUUUUGUUGGAAAAAAGAUGUGGAAAGAGAUAAGUCAGUAAUAAUUUGGGACCAAGUAACUGCGCCUCCAUUUACAUUUCAUUCCAUCAAUUUGAAAUAAUUUAUCUUAGUCAUAGCUGUAAGGAAAAUUCAGACCUUUGAUAUCAUAUCAAAGCUGCCUGCUUGCAGACAGAUAGAGGUGCAGAAUGUUAGUUGCCCAAGCCUCAAUAUUUUGGAUCAAGGAUUCAGUCUGUGAAAUCUGAGAUUGGAUUCACUUUUUUUCAAGAGACAUUAGAAAAUUCUGAACUGGAAAACAAACCAAGUGUUUAUAUUUUUUAACUUAACCAAGCAAUGCAGAGUCUCUUAAACUACCACAGUGAACUCUGAAUUUUGUCUUUGCAAAUUCAGGAAUGUCUCAUUAUGUCAUUUUCCCCCACCUUGUCAUCUAUACUAAGGUUUCUCCUCUCUCUUGCCUUUCCUUAAUUUCUCUUCCACAGAGUCAGCUCACGCUCACUAGAACAUAUUGCAGUGUGGCAGAGAGCAGGAAAUGUGGUAGGCUAGGAUAGUUGUGCCGCACUGAAGAGAGAAAUCAAUUAGGAAGACUUAACAGUUCAAUAUGCCUUUCUUUGGAACUAAGUAAUGGUUAUAUUGAAUAGUGCAAGGCACUCAUGUAAGCAUUUGGGUUUUCUUUUCUGAAAUAACAUUGCUGCUAUUGAGCACUACGUUCUCGCAAAACUGAAUUCCAACUCUCUUUUUCCAGGUCUGUCUUUGCUUACUGUAUUGUUGAGGGGUGGCUCCACAGCUGAGGGGGUCAUGGGUCUCUUGAACAGUUGUACUAGCAGAACAGGCCUAACAAUUGGCAGGAGAUACAGAUGGAAAAAUACUAGCUCAUUAUACUGGCUGUGAGUUCGGGUGCUGUGUGCACAACCCAGGCUAUGAGACCUUGAAGCUGUCAAAGCAGGAAGACAAACUGAGGCUUCAGUUAAGAUAAGGGGGUAGCUAGCCUGGGAAGCGAUUAAGACAGUGGAAUGGUAUGAAAACAUGCACGACCAAUAGUAUUCUUAGGUAGGGGGCUUUUUGCUAUGCUUCAACCAAUUACACACUGACGCACAUUUGCCGCAAUCUAUAUAUAUGUGUGACUAACGAAUAAUAAACGGAGACUCUGAUGCACUCAUAUAGGGUCAUGUCAUCACUCCCCACGUGGCUCGGCCAGCGAACGGACUAGAUUCUGGUUUCGAACCCUUGGGGGUCCGCAACACUGUAUAUCGUAACAUCUCCUUUUUACACAUUAGUCUUGCUAGUUUAUACUAAGAGAAUUAAUAAUGACACCACCUAUAUGUGUUCUUUGAAGUGGCAUAAUUUAAAAACAUAAAAACAAACAAAAAAAACAAUGGCUCUGAUUUUUGUUAGCAUUUGGAUGGUUGAAGUCAUGCUCAAGAUUUGGUAAUUCCUAUAAAUCUUGUUAAGUCUCUUUGACUUAUUUAUCUUGUAGCUGUGGCUUUGUUCUUUUCUUUGGUGAGCUAUUUUCUGUAUCAUGCACUCUCUCGUCUUGGCAGAUUAAUCCAUUCAAAGAAGAUACUCUAUAUUACGAUUACAGCAGCUGCUCUGCAGAUACCUGUUUGUCCUGGCCAAAGUGAAAUCACCAGUCAUGAGCGAGUAGCAUCGAGUCUGGUUGUUUUAUAGACAACAUUAAGCUCUUUCAUAUUCAGUGGUUAUGCGAAUGAUUGAUAGACCUCAUUAUUUUGAGGAACUAUUGCACUGUAAUGUUUCCAGAUGUUCUCCAAUGGAAACUUGUGUUAUUACUAUAGGGAAGUAUCAAUCAGUAAAUAACCUAUGUCAUUUGUUGCCCUUCUAUACAAUCCCAGUGUUCUGAUCUUGUGGCGUAGCUUUAUUUACAAAGGAAUUGUCAAUUAAAAUAGAUUAUCAUUCUAUAUGUUAUAACACAGAUCAGCAGAGGGACAGUUUUGAGUGUGUGAUAUUAUCAGCCACUGUGAACCAAAUGGAGUCAACUGUAACCAAUACUCAGGUGAAGAGUCAUGAAAGAAAACUCAAAUGUUGCAGAAGAUAUUUCUAAUGAGUUAGUAGAGGAUGCUAGUUCAUCUGUUAGAAAACUUUUGCUCUGCAACUUCCUAAGAGACAUUCAUCUGUGAAGGGCUGCUCUUUCAUGAAACAAUUUUAGUACUGUAACCAGAGGAUGCAAGUCUGAUUUCAGCAGCUUUUCUUAUUUACUAGAGCUGGCUUCAAUACUGUGAGGGAUUGUAAUUUGAUAGCCAGACUGUUCUGAUGCAAGCUAGGAAAAACUGAUAAAGUGUUUACUCUCAGAAUGAGAAUCAGAGAGUUGGGGAUUUUUAUUGUUUGUGGGCUGUCCCAAACUAAAAGAAGCUUCUAGGCUGUAACUGAUUGCAUUAAAAUCAGCUAAAACUACUGCUUUGUGAAUUUUUCUUUAAAUACAUGUGUAACCUGUAAUACCAAACCUCACAAAUGAUGCCUUCAAAUUCAUUCAAACAAGGAUAGGUAACCCUUGCAAUUUUUAUGCUAAUCCCAAUAGUUUUUAUGCCUAUCCCAUUAGUUACCAUCCUCUGCAAGGCACAAAGAGGCAUGUGUAAAUAUUGAUGGAUACAGUUGCUCUCUGGUGAGCUGAUUUGCAGUCGUUGUUUGCCACUUGACUGUCUCUGAAAUUUGCUCAUGUUUCAGUUAUUCUCUCUCAGCAGAACCAAGGGUGAAUAGGUAUGUCUGUUCAGCAUCUCCAGACUCAUAUAAUAGGUGUUGAUGAUUUGUUGUGAGAGCGAGACAAAGAUCUUUCCAAGGAACAUUGGAUUUGUCCUAGAUCUGAAUUUUGGGUUGGACGGCUUUACUACCAGCGCACUACUACUGGAGUUGGACUUCUAGGCAUCCUAAAAUAAUUAGAAUUUGGUAGCUAUUGAGAUCAGUUGUGAGAGUCUCUAACCCAAGGAAUCUAUUAGUUGCAAUUGCUAAUCUGGAUGUUCUGAUUGGAAGUUUUAAGGAGAACAGAGUGAAGCUUUUUUUAAAGCAACGUGUUUUUUGUUCAUUUCUUGUUCCAUUAGCAGAUUUUUUUAUUAUGAUACUUAAUAGUCCAUAUUUAUUGGUCUUGUUUGUAUUUCUUCAACUGUAUUAGCAUAACUUUACUUGAUAGCACAGUUUCUGACUAGAAGCAAUCUUUUUGAUCAACUUUUUUAACAGUCUAGUCAAAUUUCCAAGUGUCUGAAAUUAAUACAGUGACUGUAUUUAUACAUAAGCUUUUGGAAGCUCAAUUUUCAAUAUUAAUGUCUUCAUCUCAAAUGUAUCUGUGCCUUGGAGGAUGCUGACAAGCAAGAGAAUGACAUAAUCUCAUAUCCAGGUGUAGCGGAUAGGGGGUGCACCCGCAAUGAAUGAAACUCAAUGUGUUUGAGUACAGGGACAAAAGCAUAUACCUCUGGUUGGAGAGUAACACACUCUAAAUUCAUUUAAAGAGGUGGUGGAGAAAGUAGAAUAUUUGGUCUUCAAAAAUUAGUCUCCAUUCUAUUUUUUCAUCAAACUUAAUGUUUUUCAUUUAAAAAGAUGAAGGUUGCUAUAGACUCCAGGCCAUUGAUGCUAUCACUUGAAGUUUCCUGCUUGUGUUAAGGAGUCAUCUUGAUUCAUUUGGUGGAAAAAAAUGACUGUCCUGCCAUGUCUGCUCUUUUCUAAUCUUCAUCAGUUUGUCAUUGAAUUUGUCUAUCAAAUGUAGCAUCUGUUAUGUGAAAAUUUCACAGACGUGAGAAUUGUUGCUAAAGGGAACUUACAUACGUACAUGCUGGGAACUGAGAGUAAAUGUAGUGCUAGUGUACUUGGACUCUGUGAACUAUGAAUAUAUGAAAUCCUUGGGGGUUUUUUCCCAUUCUUUUUUAAUGUUUGUCACAAAGGAGCUUAACUUUUUGUGUGUUGAGAUACAGCUGUGAUUCUGGAAUGUGGUUCCGAACAUCCACAAUUGAAAUGAUCGAGGUGACCUUACCUACGAGACAUCAGUCUGCGUCAUAAAAACGUGGCAAUGUCUGGAGUGCUUGUUUUGCUGGAUGUAUGAAAACUGAAAGAUAUUACAGAGGUUGAACUCAAUAAGAAGAAUUUUCAUUAACAAUAAUCCCUGAACAAAUAUUUGUAUAUGGAUACAAACUACUUGAAACUCCAUAUAAAUGUUCCUUCUCGUGAGACCUUUUCCUUUCCAUAUUGCCUUUGAAGUUUCUUCAUAAGUGUGUUCCCUCUCAACCAAGUGGGGGCAAAUACUGAUUUCAUUUUUGCUGAUUUACUAAUAUUACUUUGAAUGAAACUGAUACAUCAUGGCUCUUUUGCAAGAAACAUUUUCCUAAGGUAUUUCAUUAGUUUCAAAUGGGCUAAAGGUCAAAAGUUAAAUGUGCACACAAACAGCCCAAUCAACUAUUCAAAUAUGUCAGAACCUCACAAUGUUUUGGCUUGAAAAAAAACCAACCGUGCGGGCUGUUUCUCAGAAAUAAUGUAGAUUUAUAAGGUGCUUUUGUUUUCCCCAAGUUGGUUCACGUUUCUGUGAUGAAUCUCUUUGUUGUAGCCCUGAACUAGGUUAUCAGCCUUUAAUUGCAUCUUAGGAAAGCCUUUUUUGUUUGUUGCAUUUACUUUGGUUAUUUUAGAGAAAGCAAAGAGUUUUAACUUUCCUACCACUACAACAUUACUGGUUCUGACUUUGGUUUUCUUAGCUAUCUUUUCUUUCCCAUAUUAACUUCCAUAUUCCUAUCUUGUCACAGUCUCUUUUGUCCUUGGCAGUGGCAAUAUCUUUUCUUUCAGGCAUGCUGACCUCUCCCAUUCCCUUUGAAGCACUUACGAUCAUUCCAAGAGCUGCAUUCCAGCUGUGGCGCCUUCUGAGGUACUGAAUGUAUUAAGAUAAAAAGAAAUAAGCUGAGCCAUAUUAAUAAAAAGCUUAAAUGUUUAUGCAGGCAUAAGCUUCGAGAAAUUAGAUACCAAAAAUAAGGCUUUACCAGGAAUGAUCAAGUAGCUAAAAUGGAAGCCCAAAGAAUGAUGCUCUUUUUUUUCUAGUGCAUUCUGGUCCAGUCAGUGGUCAUUUAACGUUUAAUACUUUUGCUGUGUAAGUGAAGGACAUUUGAAGGACAGUUUUCUCAUGGAAUAGAACAUGUAGGGGUAACUUUUUGUACAAUCUUAAAAACAGUGGGAGGCUUUUUUUGUUUGGUUGGUUUUUUUUCUCUUUUCCAUUUGGGUAUGACAGAAGGCUGUACUCUGUUCAGAAUCAUACCUGACUGUGAAAUAAAUAGGAGAUGAGAGACCCAGGAAGAGUGAAAAUGAAGGUGUAGUUUAAUAAGACAGCAAAUCCAGCCUUGGCGUAUUUAGUACAGGCUCAAAUAUGUCUUCGGUAAAUGCUAUCAAGGAUUAAACUGAUAGACGAUCAUUUUGCACAUUGAAAUGUGUUUGGAGAGGAGAAGUUUGCUCUGAUGUGUUUCAUAGCAGAAUAGGUGUUGUCAGUCCUUCAGUACCCAUCUCAAAAUGUGUAUAAUGAAGACUCUGGCUAACUUGGGUGAAAUGCUUUCUGCCCACUGUUGGUGGUAGACCAAGUUUUUGUUUUUGUACAAACUGUUCUUUUGUGAAUCCGGUGUAGAAUGUAAGGGACUUGCAAACAUCAUCUGUAUAUAACCAUUAGGAUGUUCCAUGGGAAGCACAGAGAUUGCAGGUUCUUUGGGGCUGUUACUGCUGACUCUUUGGGUCCUAUUUAUUGUUAUUAAGUUAACAAUUACACGGAGAGAUAGAGAGCUCAAAAAUGCACCCCUUCAUCCCCUCCAUCUCCCCCCACCCCCAAUUUUUUUUUUUUUUGAGUGUAGUUUAUCCUGAAUGGCUAACAGGAGACUCACAAAGGCUCCAUGCGCAAUAGUGCUCAAGACUUCUUUUCUCAAAGCUGCAUGCAAAACAGACCUCUUUCUACAGUGUGGAUAAAGUGUAAACUUGUACAACAACAACUUUUUCUGUGCCAUUGUUCACUUUGCCUUCUUUGGCCACCUUGGCAAGGUAUCAUCAUUAAGCAUAUGUGCAUUUGUACCUGAUUAAAUCAGUCAAAUGAGGUGUUUUCCUAAUUCGCAGCAGAAUGAAAGUUACAUAUAUUCAAAGCUCUGCUUUGGGACUAAUCUUACAUGAAAUUAAUAGAAUCAACUCAUAUCCUUAAAUUUAUGUGUGUGUUUAAGUGCCUCAGUGAACUGAAACCUCUCAAUAUUUCUAAAACAGUUGGAAUGGUUUUCAAAUUGAAGUUUCUACGACUACAAUUGACUCUGUUGUAUUUUAACCCUACCAGGAGUGAACAAAAACAGAAAUAGAGACUUCACUGGAAUUAAUUUAGAGGUGAUAAGAAUAUCAGUGGGAAAUGCCAAAGUUGUAUUGCAGCUCUGUUUGACUUGAGAGAAGAUAAUUUUCAUUCUUGUUUUUCUGGGCAUCGUAUCUGCUCAUAGGUACCCAACAAGAUUUUAUUCUUCCCAGAACACUUUUUCUGGGAGGUCAGCUAGGUGAUUGUUAGGAAUACUUCCUUCUAUAAGAAGGGCCAUAAAAUAUACAAGCAAGGGCUGAAAUUCAUAUAGUAUAUAGGCCUGUAUGUACAAAUGUAUAUUUUAACUUCAGGUAUACCUCGUCUCAGUAAUAUGAACAGUGCGAACAGACUGAACGUUUACAUGAAUUUUCACAUAAAUGGAGCAUGAGAAAACAGAUGAUGGAAAUAAGUAGGGAACAUGAAACUUAAUAAGAGGUAGGUUUGCAUAUUGCAGAACAAGUUUAUAUGCUUUUUGUCUAAGAGAUAUGACUUCUUUUUCAAUUCUGUUUUGGCCACAAAGGAUUUUUUGCUAUGCAAGAAUGAAGAUCUUAGACUUCAGAUGUUGCCUUCUUUAUUUCAUUAAUGUUAAUACAGGAAAUCAAAAAAGAUCACAAAAACACUAUGUCUCAUUAUCAGGAUGUUUCUUUUGAUUCUGAACAUGCCAGCAAAGAAUGCUUGAUCCAGCAACAUCAAAAGAUGAAGCCAUUCGUGCUUAGUUGGUUUGCCUUAGAUAUUUUUUCUUCUAGACAGAAAUUUUAGCUUUUUCUCCUUAACUCCAAAGCAUGAGACUGCAAGUGUACAUCUCUUAUUGCAUCUGUAUUUUAUGGGAAUAUCUUACUCAGAGCACAACAGAUGGACUCAUUUUAGGCAAGAUUCAGCAUCUUCAAAUGUAAUGCUAUUAAUAUUUAGAUACAUAGAGCUAUACUUUUAUUAAUGAAAGGGAAAGGCUUUUUGUACUUCUAUGCUAGGAAAAGUAGCUAACAGCAGAUAGUAAUAGGUAUAUUUUUUUAAUUUUUUAAAUAUCAAAAAUAACCACAUGGGGAAUAGUUGCAGAAUCAAUUAUUGACUAUUUUUGUUUAGCUACUGUAUUACAAAUUUUAUCCAACUGACCAUACAGAUCAUUUAAAAUUCUUCUGAUGAUUCUAGUUGUGUAUUCUUUGUGUUGUCAAAAAAUGCCUGUUGGGUUUCAUCCAGUACACACUCCACUGCAUUAUAACAUAGAAGAUAAUAUUGUAACCAAAACAUUCAAAUCAUAGCAAUGCCUGUGUUUUACUUCAGACCAGAAACUGGUGACUGUGUUUCAAUUUUCAGUAAAAGCAACCUUGAUUUCACUGCAGAUAAAACAUAUUAGGCUUUUGUAUGUGUGUCACAACAGACCUGGGAAGUUCUAUUGUACAGAUAUUAUUAAUAGAUUGCAGUGAAUUUGUGUCUUAGAAAUGAACUGAUACAGUUUGGUAACUUUAACUGCUGACACAGACUAUGUGGCAUAUAAGCAAGCAGUAGUCUUACUGCAAAAAUAUAUAUUUUAUAACACCAUAUAAAUACUGAAAAGAGUGGAAUUUUUGUUUGCUUGAUUUUUGGCCAUUGCUAAGCUUAAAACACUUCUGACAGGCUUACUGUAUCUAGCCUCAAGUCAGUGACAGUGAACAGCACAGGGAGACACCUGAGAGCCAGUUAAACAUGAUGAAGUGUUGUUUUGCAUAUUUUGCCAGUUUGGAAGAUAUAUGUUUCACCUCUUGAAAGUUUUCCCAUAAUAUUCCACAUUUGAUGACAAAUCCAAGGUGACAGUUGGAAGGCUCUUUCUAUUGUUUCAUGCUUUCCUGUGUGUUUGGAGUGGAUCAAGGUUGUAAUGAAUUCCAGAAAACCAAGAGAAUUUCCAUCAUGCACAAUAUCCAAAUGUGGCUCUGUACUCAACCAGAAAUGCAAUAAUGGAACAUGCAGCAUGUGUCUGUAGAACUGAAGAGCAUGGGGGAUUCAUAAUAGGAUAUAGACCCUCUUGUUCACCUUUUCAAAUUUAGAGCAGGUGAGCAGCUAAUAGAUUUUCCUCUUCACUCCUGGGUGGUCUUUGUGAGAAGGUAGUUGCAAUGAGCAAACACCCAAGAGGAGGGAUGGAGGAUCCAUGUAAUUGUAGACACAUGCUGCAUGUUCUUCUGUAGGUAGACCCUGGGGGUCACAGGUGGCUUUAUAGGGCUUGGUACUACUCUCCUGCACCAUACUCUGCCAGAAAUGGAUGUUUAAGGAAGCAACCAACCUUCUGUCACCCAUACGGUUCAGGCAGGGCUGGCUCCAGGUGCAUACAAGGCAAACAGUGAAAUGAUUGCCAGCAGCUCCAGUGUAUCUUACUGGUCCUUGUCUUGCUCCUGGAAACUCUAAGGGUGAUGCCAGGGCAUGUGGGAGGCAGGUAGAGAUGGGUAUAGUGAGAGCAGUGUUUCCUUGGUGCUGCAGUUGGGUACAGCUUCCACCUCUUUCUGGAAGCAGGACUUGUCAUCUCAGCUCUCCAGCGUUCUUUGUCCCAGAUUCCCCUUUUUCUCCUUUGCCUCUCCCUUUUUUGCUUUUUUCAUGAGUGCUUCCUGUGCUGAUCAUUUGCUUUGCCUUUGUAUUUUUAAAUGACAUUUAGAAAUGAGAUGCCCCAUGGGCUCUAAAAUAAUGUUUAUCCUGUCUCGUGCAAAUUUAAUCUGUCUCCUGAGAAGAGAGUAGACCAAUGCUUUUAUAUAAAAAUACUAAAGAGCAAAAUGCAGAAUAUCCUUUGAUUCAGUUAAUUGAUAAUGUUAAAAUGGUGGGCCACCAUUUUUGCACAUCACACAUCUAUUGUUUUCUCAACUUCUAAGAAAUAACUGAAGAUUUUCACCCCAGGCUGUGUUCUUUUUUCCCCUCAAGGAGUGCAUUUGCAGUCUUCCUAUUCAUGCAGAAACAGAAGAAUAUUUUUCUGACCAUUUGUUCUUCUUCUUAUGCAAAAUAUUUACAGGAACUGUGUGAAUUAGUCUGAAAUAGUAAUGCUUUUACGCAUACUUCAGACUGAAAACCUAAGUGAAUUUGUCUGCACUGUGAAUUUGCAGCAUGGGAAUCACUCCAGGAGGACCAGUAUAGACAGAAGCUACCAACUAAGCACCUCUGUAGGGACUUGAGACUUUAAAACAAGGCAUGGUCUUCUUAUGAUACUGUACUAAUAAAUUUCAUUUGUUACUAGAACAUUUUUUCAGGUGCUCUGUGCUGACUUAUCUGUACUUUCCUAAAACCAGCUCUUUUGCAGGGAGUUUGGGAAGAUAAAAUGUCACAGGGUAAAGCUAAAGAAAAAGACCCAACAUUUUAAUUUGUGCUUUUUUGAAUAAUCUUAGAUUACUUUGUGCCUCUGUAUGAAAUUGGAUUAAGUUCACAUGAUUAAGUGGCUUGGAUAUCAAACUAGAUAGGAUCUGAUGUCUUGGCAUUUUGAAUUUAUCAGGACUAAACUGUGAAUUAAAAUUUUUUGAGAGAAAUGUAUGGGAGAUGAUAAAAGACAGUUCUGCAAAGAAAUAACCUAGAAAAUAUUUGCCUGAGUCUCUAUGCUGUCUUGUACAGUUGUGAUUGUUACAAGUUGAACAGAUCUCAAAAAAAAUUUAAGAUAGAAGCAGUUACCAAUUGUAUUUUUUUGUUUAUCUAUUAUAUAUAUAUAUAUUUUUCUUUCUGAAAUGUCUUGAUAAGAAGCAGUAAGUGUAAGUCAGGGUCAUAAACCUCUUAUAUUCUGGCACAGUGCAGCAGUGAGAGAGCAAAUUUGAAAGAAAGUGUUAAGCUUUAAAGGUCUGGAGUUUGAUGGGCUGUUAUCUUUUAUCCUUCCAGCACAAAUCUUUAUGCUGACUUCUCCUGUAUCCCUCCAUUCCCUAGGGGAACUUGGGUUCACUCACAUGUUGCUGGACAACAGACAAAGAAGGUCUGUUCAACACGUGUAGAACAGAUGCUAAGGGGAGGAUGGGGGAAUUUUCCAGCGCAGUUACUGUAAUAUCCAUUGCUGCUGUCUUGCUCCCUGCAUAAGCACUGCUGGGCUCUGUGGAGCUAGUCUUGGGGAUUUUCCCAUCUUGGAGACGGGCCACCCAGACAGCAAGCAACCCUUGCAGACUUUUGCAUAUCAAAAAUACUGUGGAGGAUGUCACCUUCUUCCGCACCAAGAGAGCACUUUGGGAGAAGAAUAAAAUAGAUUGAAAUGCUAAAUCGCUCACUUCUCAGAGAUACAGCUUAGAUUAUGUGGGAGCAUGGGGUCAGGAGAAAAUACUUGCCACUCAUGUCCAUUGUAGCAAGAGUAACACAAGCAGGCAUCCCUUUUUGAACUUGUGUUUGAGCAAGUUGUGGACAGCAGGAUGUGAGGAAGCACUAUGAGUCACACUUUCAUCUGAGGUAAGUAGGUAUAUAACAUCUUGUAAAAUAGACAGAUGGAGCUAAAAAUAUUCAAGAAACAGUAACCUCUUUUGGAAGCAGUUGAUCCUGUGGAGUGGGGGCAUAGAUAGGCACUAUGGUUUAUAUUGUGAGGGUGGAAAAGCAAAAGGUCUUAAUGUUUUGUUUGGCACCUCUUACGAUUCUCUUUAACUGACUUUCCUGCCAGGGUGGUCAAACAUAGGUUGAACUGGGGCAACAGCAGAAAAGAUAUGAUGAGAAAUUACUCUGAGGCAUAAGACAUCAGCCAACUGCAUUGAAUUCUUAUUCUGUUGUUUUCAACAGCACGUGGGAGUUCAGCAAAUAAGAACACGAGAGAGAAUAUGCCCUUUCUAAUCAAUGUGUAAUGCUGGAUUCCAACCCAGCCUAGCUAAAGCAGCAAAUGUUUGUUAUGCUACAGCUCACCAGAGGAUCAGAAAUGAAUCAAAAUAAAAAUAUAGUAUACUGCUAUAUAUCACUGUUCCCUAGGCUCUACAAUGGCAUCUGACCAAUGGAGAAAGCAAUCACACUUAAAACCAGCCAUGUGCUAGGCUGCUACAGAGCUGUGUGACUACUGAAUGGCUUCAUCACAGCACAAUAGGGUUCAGUUACUGCUUACAUAAAUCAAACUUUGGGACCCCUGAUUAGAAUGAGGAUUUGGGGACUCACUAAGCGCCUUUUCAGGUAGGGCAAAUAUUUCAAGUGGGGAAAUGCUGGCUGCACAAAGUUCCCAGAACAGGGAGGUUUUUCCCCAACUACUGAAAAUAGCAAAAACUCAUGCCUGGCCUUGACAGUAAACAGAAAUAUCAAUGUGACAUGUAGCAACCUGCCAGAAACUUUACCAUCCAGUCAUGAACGCGGUCCAGGCUGCUUUUCCUUUCUCUGAGGAAAGCUGCGCACAGCUGUGUUUUUGUAUGCAUACAAAUAUAUAUGAUAGGUUAAUGAGUCUAUUUUGUUCUCAAGAAAUGAUGGAAUGAUCUGCUCUGUAGUGUGUUUUGACUCUCCUAGAUCAUCUGGGUUUGUGCAUGUCCAGGGACUACCAAGAUGUUGGCUAAGGUAGAUGAAGCAUUUCCUUGAGCACAUUAGUUGCAGUGUAUGAUUUUGGUUAAGCUGUUUAAAACUGGAAGAAAAGCAUCCAGAGCACUUCUCAGGUGGGCAGUAUCUUCCUAGGUGGAGAGUAUCUCAACCGGCUUGAAAACAUUGCUUGUAUUUUUCUUUGUCGGUAGUCCUACCCUUUGACUUUGGGUUGCUAUGUGAUAUUGAUUAAGGGGAGUAAUUGUGAUAUUCUCAGUUGUUAUAUCAAUUCCUCUCUGAGUUAUCCCAGAAGAUAAUGUUGGAUGCUUGUUCUGCUACAUCUGUUCUUAUUUGCUGCCUUGUUAGGUUAAAAUUUUAGCUGUGCAAGUAACGCAAACUAACCAGCUAGGUCAAAGUCAUUAUGUAUCAUAAAUAACAGCGAAAAAGUUUCCAUAUGAUGUUUUGUUUUUUCCUUCUUUUUCCUGAGGAUAUUGAACCUACAAUGCUGAAUGGAACUUGAAGAUAUUUAAGUAAUUAGUUUGAAAUAUUUUAAAACAGAUAGGCUCAAAGCUGCAGAGUUGCAGUCUGUUUAGGUGUUGUGAUGAAUGUUCAAAAUGUGAGCUCCCUUUACACAAAUCUAGUGACUGAACAGCAAACCUGCUUCGAACACCGUGUUUUUAAUGACCUUGAUGAUUUUUGCUGACAUUAGGUGAAAUUGUUUAGCAGUUUCAGUAAUAAAGAUAGUAAUUAUUUUUAAAAUCUUUCCUAAAAAAAUUGCAAAAACAGUCUUGUAAUGGAGCUGAUAACAAGUAAGAGAGCAAGACUCUAAUGCACAUGGCAAAGAAAACCAAGGGACCACACUAGAAAGAAAAGUUCUAACAUAACAAUAUCCACUAAGAUCAGUAAUGGUGGGAUGGUGGGAAACUCUAAUUUUGUAGAACAUAAGCGUUCUUUGUGGUGUGGAAAUGUGUACAUGUUUGAGUUGGAAAGUCUCUGGAACAUAUUUUCAUAAAAUCAAUAAUAUGGUCAAGUGGCUUUAUUUUUAUGGUUCCCUGGGGCUAUUGCUAUUUUAUAAAGAUUAGUCCAUCGGAAAUCCCAAGCUUCCUGUUUUUAUUAUUCACACCUUAUACUGUGGUUUAGACUAAACUACCCCUUCCUGGUUUUAGAAGACGUUCACUUUGCUGUGGUACUGCCUUCUUAUGUUAUUGCUCUAUUAGAUAUCGUGGUGAGUUUGUGAGUUUAAUUUUGCAGAACAAUAACCUGCAAGUACAGGAUUUUCCCUGUAUUAGUCUGACCUCUUGUUUAAACAUGCGUUCUGCUGCUGCUUUUUAUUUUUUAUUUGGUAAAUAAUAGAACCAUGGUGCUAUUUGGAUUAGUUUUUGUUUUUUGUUUGGUUUUUUUUUUGUUUUGCUUUUAGAUAACCUGCCUUUGAGUCCUUGAAUUGACAAAUAAUGUACUUGUCCGGUUGUUACCAGACUAGCUGAAUUUCAGCUGAUUUGCUCAGUGCUUAAAGUUCCUCUGUGUAAGCAGCUUGGUUGCAAUUCUAGUAUCAACUUAAUGCUGUCCAGAAUGGUUGUGCAUUUAGACACCAUAUAGUUUUGGUUAGAAGAGAUCACCUGGACCUUCUGACACAUCGGCUGCAUUUCUGGGUAUGAUGCUCCCAUUUCAUGUAGUACAGUGAAAAUAUGCAAGUGACACAGCUGGGGUUCAUAUAGAGGAUUCUGGAUUGCCUUUGCUUUUAUGGGAUGUUUUUUGAACUACUUGUAAGUGUAAGCCCCUCUCUCUUUUCCUGCACCCUGUGGUUGGACAUCAAUAUAUAUUAAAAUUUAGGAAUUACUUUUAAAGUUAUUUUUGAGUGUGAUGUGAAUACAUAUCCCUUGGAGGAGAUUUGGUAUCCUCAUGCUUUUGGUAUUACUGCUUUGUCUCUCUUACUGAGACAGGAAAAAAUAAAAAAUAAAAAAGGGAGGGAAAAAAGUUCAUUUGACCCUGAAAUUCCAGAUGCCUGAGAUUAAAAGAAAGGGCUGGGUUAUCCCAUAAUCUAUGCUGGCACUAUAGCUGCUAAGUAAUUUAAUGUGAACG
RNAcentral lists this long non-coding RNA (32759 nucleotides) under Gallus gallus (chicken). Lineage: Eukaryota; Metazoa; Chordata; Aves; Galliformes; Phasianidae. The record is from RNAcentral.